RNAcentral lists this transfer RNA (73 nucleotides) under Stegodyphus mimosarum. It matches the Rfam family "tRNA". Rfam says of the family: Transfer RNA (tRNA) molecules are approximately 80 nucleotides in length. Their secondary structure includes four short double-helical elements and three loops (D, anti-codon, and T loops). Further hydrogen bonds mediate the characteristic L-shaped molecular structure. tRNAs have two regions of fundamental functional importance: the anti-codon, which is responsible for specific mRNA codon recognition, and the 3' end, to which the tRNAs corresponding amino acid is attached (by aminoacyl-tRNA synthetases). tRNAs cope with the degeneracy of the genetic code in two manners: having more than one tRNA (with a specific anti-codon) for a particular amino acid; and 'wobble' base-pairing, i.e. permitting non-standard base-pairing at the 3rd anti-codon position. Lineage: Eukaryota; Metazoa; Arthropoda; Arachnida; Araneae; Eresidae. The record is from Rfam by way of RNAcentral.
GCCUUCGUGGUAUAGUGGUCAGCACACUCGGCGCGUAUUCGAGAGGUCCGUGGUUCGAGUCCUGGUGAGGGCA